GACGAGCGCUGGCGGCGUGCCUAAUACAUGCAAGUAGAACGCUGAAGAGAGGAGCUUGCUCUUCUUGGAUGAGUUGCGAACGGGUGAGUAACGCGUAGGUAACCUGCCUUGUAGCGGGGGAUAACUAUUGGAAACGAUAGCUAAUACCGCAUAACAAUGGAUGACACAUGUCAUUUAUUUGAAAGGGGCAAUUGCUCCACUACAAGAUGGACCUGCGUUGUAUUAGCUAGUAGGUGAGGUAAUGGCUCACCUAGGCGACGAUACAUAGCCGACCUGAGAGGGUGAUCGGCCACACUGGGACUGAGACACGGCCCAGACUCCUACGGGAGGCAGCAGUAGGGAAUCUUCGGCAAUGGGGGCAACCCUGACCGAGCAACGCCGCGUGAGUGAAGAAGGUUUUCGGAUCGUAAAGCUCUGUUGUAAGUCAAGAACGGGUGUGGGAGUGGAAAGUUCACACUGUGACGGUAGCUUACCAGAAAGGGACGGCUAACUACGUG
This 497-nucleotide ribosomal RNA is filed under the name uncultured bacterium. Its description in RNAcentral is "partial 16S ribosomal RNA". It matches the Rfam family "Bacterial small subunit ribosomal RNA", at positions 28 to 507 of the family's 1533-position model. The record is from RNAcentral.